UUCUAAUCUUCGAUAGAACCCAAAGACACUCUAAACAUGUUCAAUUAUGUACAAUUUUAAAUUACAGAAUAUCAUAUAAAAAGUUUUUAUUUCGAUAAAACACAGGUACCAAAUAAUAUUUUUAAUUUGUGUGUGUGAAUGGAGCUGGAGGGAGAAGGAAGAGAAGGGAUUCUUUAGAUCAAUUGGUUAUGCAUGGCUUGAGGUCCUUACAGGAAAUCAAAUCCUUGUUUCCUGCCUGUAGUAAUCCUACUACACAAGACUCAACAAUUUAAAGGUUGAUCAAACACAAAUUAAAGAAAAACACAAGCUGAAAUCAAACAUAAUGCAACAACAGAAAAGCAAAAAACAAGAGAACAAAGAGAAUUUAUCCUGGUUCGGUCCUCAAUUCAAGGCCUACUCCAGCUCUCCCCCAAGGAGUUUUCUCCACUAUAAUCAAGCUGAUUACAAUCUCCAAUAGUUGUAGUGUACACCUCUUGAAACAACACAGAAAGAAAUCCCCAAGAACUCUCACACUCGAGCUCACAAAGCCAUACAAUGGCUAUCACAAUUUCUCUCUUUCUCUCUCUGUUUCACUCUCCCAAAAACACUACUCCUAAUCUCUAUAUUUGUUCUAACCUUUAUAAUGAAUAGGUUAGAGCCAUAAAUAGAGUUACAAUAUGAGCUAACUAACUGAAAUGACAAUCCCAAGGUGUACAACUACAAAAAACUGAUUAGUAACUAACUUAACAGAAAUUGACAAAAGCUGUUAAGUUAUUAUAACAGAUUUGAUUUUCUUUGGAUUACCAAUCCUACAAAUUCCACCUUAAUCCAAAGAAAAACAAACUAGAGAACAUCACAAGGGGGAGUGGACCACCAUCUUCAACCUGGUCCAAUGUUAAGCAGUUCCAAACAAUGUUGGAAUCUGCCUAUGGAGAGAGCUUUGGUCCCUGCAUCAGCAGGAUUCUCUUCACUGGGUACCUUUUCAAGCUCUAUUUCUCCUUCUUCUAUCUUGUCUCUGAUCCAAAACAUUCUUAUGUCAAUAUGUUUUGAUCUUUCAUGGUAGACAGGGUUUUUGCUCAAGUGUAUUGCAGAUUGACUAUCUGAAUACACAGUUGCCUUGCCUUUCAUCAAACUCAGUUCCUUCAGAAUUCCUUUGAUCCAAACAACUUCCUUGAAUGCUAUAAGAGGGAUGACGAGUUACUCAUCUUAAAUAUGAAAAGAAACAUCGAAUUUGAAGAAAAAUAAGACAUGAUCUCAUCUUAUAAGCAAUUGUAAAAAAAAAAAAAGUAUUGAAGAAAAGGAAGAGAAAUACUUCAUCAAAAAAAUUAGAAGAAGAAUUAACUAUAAUUUUAGUAACAUAAGUAACCGGUUACCAUAAAAACUUAUAAAUAUACAUAUAUAUCAAAACAUGGAGGUAACCAGUUACCUAUCACAUAUUUAAAGUUAAAAAAAAAGCAUAUCUAAAGAAAACAAACGGGAUUUGAUCUGCAACAAAUCAAGAAGAAAACAUAUUUGUAACAAUAUAAGUAAUCGUUUAGUAUUAAUAGAAAGGUUUUCAAAGAAGUGAAACGAGAGAACCAGUCAAGAUAAUCAACAAACACACCAUCUUUAGAAGAAGAGAAUGAAAGAUCUAGAUAGUGCAAUUUGGUAAGAUUUCCAAGCUCGGGAGGAAUAGUUCCACUAAUUGAAUCACCUGAUAAAAGGUUGAGUUGUGUAAGAUAUUUGAAAGAAGCAAUACACUUGGGAAUUCGAGUAAAGUCAUUCCCAACUAGACUCAAGUAAUUCAAAUUCUGCAGCCAAUCUCACCACUU
Humulus lupulus (European hop) is the source of this 1790-nucleotide long non-coding RNA. RefSeq lists it as uncharacterized. NCBI's taxonomy places the organism in Eukaryota, Viridiplantae, Streptophyta, Magnoliopsida, Rosales, Cannabaceae. The transcript is spliced from 3 exons. The record is from RefSeq and is a predicted model, not a curated record.